Molecule: ribosomal RNA, 837 nt
Filed under: uncultured Rhodoplanes sp.
Lineage: Bacteria; Pseudomonadati; Pseudomonadota; Alphaproteobacteria; Hyphomicrobiales; Nitrobacteraceae
Description: bacterial SSU rRNA
Rfam family: Bacterial small subunit ribosomal RNA
Source: RNAcentral
AGCGGCAGACGGGAGAGUAACACGUGGGAACGUGCCCUUCAGUUCGGAACAACCCAGGGAAACUUGGGCUAAUACCGGAUACGUCCGUAAGGAGAAAGAUUUAUCGCUGAAGGAUCGGCCCGCGUCUGAUUAGCUUGUUGGUGAGGUAAUGGCUCACCAAGGCGACGAUCAGUAGCUGGUCUGAGAGGAUGAUCAGCCUCACUGGGACUGAGACACGGCCCAGACUCCUACGGGAGGCAGCAGUAGGGAAUAUUGGACAAUGGGCGCAAGCCUGAUCCAGCCAUGCCGCGUGGGUGAUGAAGGCCCUAGGGUUGUAAAGCCCUUUCGGCGGGGAAGAUAAUGACGGUACCCGCAGAAGAAGCCCCGGCUAACUUCGUGCCAGCAGCCGCGGUAAUACGAAGGGGGCUAGCGUUGCUCGGAAUCACUGGGCGUAAAGCGCACGUAGGCGGCUUUUUAAGUCAGGGGUGAAAUCCUGGAGCUCAACUCCAGAACUGCCUUUGAUACUGAGAAGCUUGAGUCCGGGAGAGGUGAGUGGAACUGCGAGUGUAGAGGUGAAAUUCGUAGAUAUUCGCAAGAACACCAGUGGCGAAGGCGGCUCACUGGCCCGGUACUGACGCUGANGUGCGAAAGCGUGGGGAGCAAACAGGAUUAGAUACCCUGGUAGUCCACGCCGUAAACGAUGGAUGCUAGCCGUUGUCGGGUUUACUCGUCAGUGGCGCAGCUAACGCAUUAAGCAUCCCGCCUGGGGAGUACGGUCGCAAGAUUAAAACUCAAANGGAANUUGACGGGGGCCCGCACAAGCGGUGGANCAUGUGGUUCAAUUCGAAGCAACGCGCA